UGGGGAAUAUUGCACAAUGGGGGCAACCCUGAUGCAGCAACGCCGCGUGAGUGAUGACGGCCUUCGGGUUGUAAAGCUCUGUCUUCAGGGACGAUAAUGACGGUACCUGAGGAGGAAGCCACGGCUAACUACGUGCCAGCAGCCGCGGUAAUACGUAGGUGGCUAGCGUUGUCCGGAUUUACUGGGCGUAAAGGGAGCGUAGGCGGACUUUUAAGUGAGAGGUGAAAUACCCGGGCUCAACUUGGGUGCUGCAUUUGAAACUGGAAGUCUAGAGUGCGGGAGAGGAGAGUGGAAGUCCGAGUGUAGCGGUGAAAUGCGUAGAGAUUAGGAAGAACACCAGUGGCGAAGGCGAUUCUCUGGACUGUAACUGACGCUGAGGCUCGAAAGCGUGGGGAGCAAACA
Molecule: ribosomal RNA, 402 nt
Filed under: uncultured prokaryote
Description: bacterial SSU rRNA
Rfam family: Bacterial small subunit ribosomal RNA
Source: RNAcentral